Molecule: long non-coding RNA, 1152 nt
Organism: Columba livia (rock pigeon)
Lineage: Eukaryota; Metazoa; Chordata; Aves; Columbiformes; Columbidae
Exons: 3
Source: RefSeq, a predicted model, not a curated record
AAAGAACUUUAGUAAAGAUCUUAGGACCUUCAUGAAUGAAUUCACAACCAUUUAAAAGAAGCUCUCCACAAACUCUAGCCACAGGUUAAGACCCUUUAACCAUUAAGAGACAAGGAAAAAAACAAAAACAAAAACCAAACAAACACCAUGUGAUUCUUCUAUUCAGAUCAAAAUAAAUCUAAUGUGACCAAUACAGGUCCAGAGUAAUUUGUAAAAUCUAUGUGUAGCUUCAAACAUUUUUGAGUAACCAUUAGGUAACAGUCAAGAGCUGAUAAGCCACAUGACUUCUGAAAUUCUCUUAGUGAAGUGAGUUGACAAAGGAGACCAGAUAAAACUGCCUGUGAAAUGAUGCAUUAGAAAACUGGGGAGACAGGAGAACAGACAGACCUGUUCCAGAGCUGAGAGUAGACCAAAUAGCUUCAUUGUGAGGUGACCCAAGAACGUCAUCUGGGCUGAGAGGGACUACGCGGUUCAGAGGCCAUACCGGCUACGCAGAAAACCUGUGGAUUGCUCUUGACUACUUAAACCAAUCCCAAAGAAGGUUUCAGAAGACAGAGAAAAUUGAAACAACAAUAUGUGAAGAAAGCUAUGCACAGAGCAAGGCAUUUUGUACUCUUGGAGAAAGCUGCAGUAGUUAUCCAGCAUAGAAAAUGCAGAAGAAUGCUGGGAGAUGCUGAAGGAUGGUGUUAAGACAUCACUAGAAGGCAGCAGACAGAAGGCAAUGGUGUUUGCUGUGCAGGAGCUGAUCGCCCUCCUCCUUCAGGUCAAGUUCUAACAUGACUUAAGGGCUGCAGGACACCACAAAUGUCUUCCACACCUCCUCCAUCCCCAUCCUCGCCGCAGCUGCAAGAAGAUGAUCAGAUGCUUGGAGACACAUACUAAAAUGCUUUGUUUCUUUGCAUUAACAGUGUGUUGGAGACUGUCUUACAGGUUAGAAUCAGAUUCUCCAUACACAGGGAGAGCCCAGCAUAUGAAUUGCAACAAUGGAAAGUAGGGGACAUAUAUUCAGGAAAACCCACCCCUACAUAAGUUUUUUCUGGAAAAAGCAUGGGGACAGGCAUUUUGUAAUGGUGCACAAGUAACUCCAAAAUAUUCCAAGGCUGUGAGGGGACUGUCUCUCUGUGCUAGCUAAAAUGACUGAUGCCAAGCUCA